Heterocephalus glaber (naked mole-rat) is the source of this 2252-nucleotide non-coding RNA. The record is from RefSeq and is a predicted model, not a curated record. NCBI's taxonomy places the organism in Eukaryota, Metazoa, Chordata, Mammalia, Rodentia, Bathyergidae.
UACACAUUUGUCUUUUGUGUUCAAACGGGAACGUUGUCAUUUCCCCAUUUCAUUCUGAAAGUUUAAAAAAGUCUGGGCAUUGCCCAGCACUGUCCCCAUAACUCACUUCAUCAUUUCAGCACUGAUUCUUGCAGUUGGCAGACAUCAGAUGACAACUUUCUGCUUCAGUACUGGUCAAAAUCCCACAGAGGACUUUGGUACCAAUACUCACUGACCCAUCUCUGAAUUGAAAGUCUUUAACUUUUCAACAAAAUAGCAGAAUGAAAAGAUCAGGCUUUAUUUAUCACACAUAAAUGACCAGGACUUUAAGAAAAAAACAUGCACACAUAGUGAGGCUCAGACUUUGCUGUAUUUAGGAAUCACUCUGGGGAGUACUGUAUUUUAAAAGGAAAUUUCUAAGUAGGUUUCAUAGUGAUUUUGAUUCAGUACAUUUGAGUGGAUUCCAGGAUUCUGUUUUUAACAAAAAUUAACCUAAUUGCAAUAUAAAUAGUCCAUGCAUUAUUUUUUGAAGAAUUGAUACAUUACAUCAGGCGUUAUUUUUUCCUAAGGAUAAUUAAAAUCAACCUAAUAAUAUUAUUAAGUUGAUAUUCUUGCAUUCUGAGUAUGUGUCCAUUGAUAAUAUAUCUGAAAAGCAUGUUUUAAACUUUGGAAAUAUUUUGAGCCAAUGAAUGGAUGAAAUAAUGUCCUAUGUAAUUUACCACAGGUUUUCUGCCAUCUUUGGACAAGGCCCAUGGUGAUCCCUUCUUGCGCAGGCUGUUUCUGAGAGUUAAAAUGGGAAGAGGAAGAGGAAAGGUAGUGGAAUGCCACAGGCAAGGCUGAAGCCAGCUUGAUAAUGGCAGAAAUAAAGACAGGGUCUUACGAAGUCUCUCAAUUGCCCGAGCUGGGCUGGAACUCAUGAUCCUCCAGCCUCAGCCACCCAGAGUGCUGGGGUUGCAGGCGUGUGCCACCAUUGCCAGGUGAGGCUUCCAAUUGAAAAAUGUUAGCAACUAACAAAUGUUAAGUAAAAUGUCCUGUAGGCCAAACCAAAUCUGUGUCCAGGUCUGGCCCAGGGGCUGCUGGUGUGUGGUCGCUGCUGUGGAGCCACAGACUUUGCCUGGAUUCUGGCUCUGACACUGUUUUUUCUUUCAGAAACUGAUGGGUGCAAUAACAGCUCACUUUCCCCUUCUUUUCCUCCUCCUCCCCCUCCUCCUCCUCUUCCUCCUCCACCUUUUCUUCCCUUCCCCUUUUCCCUCCCCCCUUCUUAUUCUUGUUUUUGUAUAUGUGCUGCCUAAGCGCACAUCUUGUUUUUGUUCUUGUUCUCCUCUUUAUCCUCCUCCCUCUUCUUCCUCUUUCUUUCCUUCUCCUCUUUUCUCUUCUCCUCCACAAAGCAGUAAGCUUGCUUUUCACGUACUUAAAUGGAUGUGUAUGAAGUACUUCUCCAGUGUCUGCUACCUUACCAGAGCCAGUAAAUGGCUCUUAUAGUGACCAGAAUUCUGUAGUUUUCAAUCAUUUUCUUCCAAAAAUAAACAAAUGCAUCAUUUUAGAACAACAGAACAUUGCCAUUUCCUGAACUAUCCUUCAGGCUAAGGUGUGUUUGUUAGUGUAGGAAAGGCGUAUGACUAAGAUCUCUCCCCUUGCUUGCCUGGGCUUGUGUCUUCUCUUUAGAUCCAUUGGUCCUACAGAAGUCUGAAACAUGAGGAAGAAACAUUUCUGAAGAAAUAAAAUCUUUAACUUCAGCCUCACAGGCAUUUGUUGGAGCAGCUCUCUAUUCCGUGUUCUGCUGGAUACAGUACAAGGUGAAUCAGAGACACAGUCCUUGUCCUCUUGGAGAAUGAAAGUGUCCUUCAAAAACAAUGGAAAGUUUAUAUUCAUGGGAGGUGGGACAAAUGACGUGCUUGAAUUUAUUUGUAAGAGAAGAGUCUGAUAUAUGUCAUACGAGGGGAAAAUAAUUUUGCUUUUUUCCCCUUUCAUCAGAUUGCUCAAGAAGAAAUGAGAUUUCAGAGUUGAAAAACUUGAAGAGAUUCCUUGGUGAGAGAACAUGAGAAAUGUUCAGAUGCACAGAGAGGAGAGAGCUCCAUAUGCAGUAUCCUGGAAACCACAUGAAACAGAUGUGACUGACGAUGGCUCACUGCACCGUAUUUCCUGCAAAACUCCUGAAGGAAGGACCUACGUUUCUCUUGGGUUUCAUCAGUUUUUUUCCAUUUGUUGUCUUUGACUAAACUUUUAUUUAAAGGCCGAAUGUCCAAUGGCCAAUUCAUUUCACUGGACUUCAU